UGCAAGUCGGACGGCAGCGCGGGGAGUUUGCUCCCUGGCGGCGAGUGGCGGACGGGUGAGUAAUACGUAGGAAUCUACCUUGUAGUGGGGGAUAACCUGGGGAAACUCGGGCUAAUACCGCAUGACAGAAGACAGAAGACAGAAGACAGAAGACAGGUAAUUGUGUGAUUGCGCCAUACAUUUUGAAAAUUUGUCGCGAAGCGACACAAUGAUCUGUCUUCAGUCCUCUGCCUUCUGUCUUCUGAAAGCGGGGGAUCUUCGGACCUCGUGCUAUGAGAUGAGCCUACGUCGGAUUAGCUUGUUGGUGGGGUAAUGGCCUACCAAGGCGACGAUCCGUAGCUGGUCUGAGAGGACGAUCAGCCACACUGGGACUGAGACACGGCCCAGACUCCUACGGGAGGCAGCAGUGGGGAAUAUUGGACAAUGGGGGAAACCCUGAUCCAGCAAUGCCGCGUGUGUGAAGAAGCUUUCGGGUUGUAAAGCACUUUCGGUGGGGAAGAAAGUCUCAAGGGUAAUAUCCUUGGGCGUUGACGUUACCCACAGAAGAAGCACUGGCUAACUCUGUGCCAGCAGCCGCGGUAAUACAGAGAGUGCAAGCGUUAAUCGGAAUCACUGGGCGUAAAGCGCGCGUAGGUGGAUGUUUAAGUCGGAUGUGAAAGCCCCUAGGCUUAACCUGGGAAUUGCACCCGAUACUGAGUAUCUUGAGUAUGGUAGAGGGAAGUGGAAUUUCCGGUGUAGCGGUGAAAUGCGUAGAUAUCGGAAAGAACACCAGUGGCGAAGGCGACUUCCUGGACCAAUACUGACACUGAGGCGCGAAAGCGUGGGGAGCAAACAGGAUUAGAGACCCUGGUAGUCCACGCCGUCAACGAUGAGAACUAGCUGUUGGGAAGUUCACUUCUUAGUAGCGAAGCUAACGCGUUAAGUUCUCCCGCCUGGGGAGUACGGCCGCAAGGUUAAAACUCAAAGAAAUUGACGGGGGCCCGCACAAGCGGUGGAGCAUGUGGUUUAAUUCGAUGCAACGCGAAAAACCUUACCUACCCUUGACAUCCUCGGAACUUGUCAGAGAUGACUUGGUGCCUUCGGGAAUCGAGUGACAGGUGCUGCAUGGCUGUCGUCAGUUCGUGUCGUGAGAUGUUGGGUUAAGUCCCGUAACGAGCGCAACCCUCGUCCUUAGUUGCCAGCGAGUUAAGUCGGGAACUCUAAGGAGACUGCCGGUGAUAAACCGGAGGAAGGUGGGGAUGAUGUCAAGUCAUCAUGGCCCUUACGGGUAGGGCUACACACGUGCUACAAUGGGCAGUACAAAGGGUUGCCAAGCCGUGAGGUGGAGCUAAUCCCAGAAAACUGCUCGUAGUCCGGAUUGGAGUCUGCAACUCGACUCCAUGAAGUUGGAAUCGCUAGUAAUCGCGAAUCAGCAUGUCGCGGUGAAUACGUUGUCGGGCAUUGUACACACCGCCCGUC
RNAcentral lists this ribosomal RNA (1458 nucleotides) under Coxiella symbiont of Ornithodoros rostratus. Its description in RNAcentral is "bacterial SSU rRNA". It matches the Rfam family "Bacterial small subunit ribosomal RNA", at positions 56 to 1398 of the family's 1533-position model. The record is from RNAcentral. Lineage: Bacteria; Pseudomonadati; Pseudomonadota; Gammaproteobacteria; Legionellales; Coxiellaceae.